This 155-nucleotide ribosomal RNA is filed under the name uncultured bacterium. RNAcentral describes it as "partial 16S ribosomal RNA". It matches the Rfam family "Bacterial small subunit ribosomal RNA", at positions 355 to 507 of the family's 1533-position model. The record is from RNAcentral.
UGAGGAAUAUUGGUCAAUGGGCGCAAGCCUGAACCAGCCAUGCCGCGUGCAGGAUGACGGUCCUAUGGAUUGUAAACUGCUUUUGUACGGGAAGAAACACUCCCUCGUGAGGGAGCUUGACGGUACCGUAAGAAUAAGGAUCGGCUAACUCCGUG